Rattus norvegicus (Norway rat) is the source of this 1058-nucleotide non-coding RNA. The record is from RefSeq and is a predicted model, not a curated record. Lineage: Eukaryota; Metazoa; Chordata; Mammalia; Rodentia; Muridae.
GGUUUAUGAACUGUCCCCUAGUUCAGAGUAAACUGUCAUUUGGGAGUGAUAACAAGAGGAUAAAGACAUCACAGAUGGGGAGAAGGAAGCUGGACUUCUGUCUUGAGGCAGGCCAUGAAGAAAGGAUAGGAGUUUAAUAAGAAACUAUAUAAUUCUCAGAAAAGCAGAAGCUGUGUUUUGAAUAAAAGUCUUGGGAUUCGGCAGGAAGAUCCUACAAUAAGGAAGACACCAUCAGAGCUGCCCAUCCUCCCCAGCACUAAAGAAAGAAAAGAUUUACUUUGUCUGGGUUAUGGAGAUUUUCUUGUUGACUGGGCUCAUAGCUUCAGACCUGAAGAGAGGUAGACUAUGGAAAUGGGAGCUCCUUUUGGAGGAUUCUGCUUAUCUUGGAGUAAUUGGUAAAUACUGAGGAAGCCUAACAUGUUGGUCCACCACCUUAUCCCUUGCUGAGAAUAAAGUCUCCUGGGAACUGGGUAAGAAGGGUAAGCAGGCAUGGCUAACAAGUCAAUCCAGGUGGGUAAACAUUUGUCCAUUAGGUAUACAGGGGGAGCAUUUCAUUGACUAAGCUGAAUGUAUCUACUCUCCACUAUGUUCUAAUUCCAUGUAAGGAAAGUUUUGUAUAUUUUGUCAAUCCUGUGACCCAGCAAGUGUUUUUCACAUUCUUUAUGCUGUUUCUUCACUGAUAUGAACCAUGUGAGACUGGAGGGAGCAAAGGAAAGCCACAGACAACAACAUUCUACAUUCUAGAAGAUCAAGGCCUUCUCAUAAAAAAAAAAAAUAAACAUCUUUGUAUCUAUGAAUUGAGCAAUGAGGUAAAGUGCUACCAACCUCUGGUCAUGCAGCUGAUAUCUGGUACACUGGUCUAUUGACUAAGAAUUCCAUGGGGGAAAAAAAAGCAUCAAAAAUUAGCAUGAGAUAAAAAAAGAACUUAAGAUCCCGGCCCGCAGCAGCUCUCUGCUCCCAGACCCGGUGAGAGAGAGACCCAACCGCCUGGUCAGGUGGGCACUCCUGAGGCUGCAGAGCAGAAGAGACCAACAACACUGCUCACCCCUGCCCACAUC